RNAcentral lists this non-coding RNA (181 nucleotides) under Acetobacterium wieringae. The record is from RNAcentral. Lineage: Bacteria; Bacillati; Bacillota; Clostridia; Eubacteriales; Eubacteriaceae.
CCGAUUCUAUGAUACACUUCCACUAAUAUAAAAUAAAGAAGUGAUGAGGAAAGGGGUGAAAGACCCCUACAGCCCCCGCUACUGUAAUUGCCAACGCGGUUCGUGAACCACUGUCUUAAGGAUGGGAAGGGAGAACCAAGGAUGAAGCAAGAGUCAGGACACUCAUAAUCAUUGAAAUUCU